RNAcentral lists this ribosomal RNA (28 nucleotides) under Cryptomonas gyropyrenoidosa. Lineage: Eukaryota; Cryptophyceae; Cryptomonadales; Cryptomonadaceae. The record is from RNAcentral.
UACAAGAUCCCAUCCGAAUUCUAUAGUU